GGGAGUGAGAAUGCAGGCAUGAGUAGCGACAAGGCAAGUGAGAACCUUGCCCGCCGAAAGACCAAGGGUUCCUGGGCCAGGCCAGUCCGCCCAGGGUGAGUCGGGACCUAAGGCGAGGCCGACAGGCGUAGUCGAUGGACAACGGGUUGAUAUUCCCGUACCCGUGUGUGGGCGCCCGUGACGAAUCAGCGGUACUAACCACCCAAAACCGGAUCGAUCACUCCCCUUCGGGGGUGUGGAGUUCUGGGGCUGCGUGGGAACUUCGCUGGUAGUAGUCAAGCGAAGGGGUGACGCAGGAAGGUAGCCGUACCAGUCAGUGGUAACACUGGGGCAAGCCGGUAGGGAGAGCGAUAGGCAAAUCCGUCGCUCACUAAUCCUGAGAGGUGACGCAUAGCCGGUUGAGGCGAAUUCGGUGAUCCUCUGCUGCCAAGAAAAGCCUCUAGCGAGCACACACACGGCCCGUACCCCAAACCGACACAGGUGGUCAGGUAGAGCAUACCAAGGCGUACGAGAUAACUAUGGUUAAGGAACUCGGCAAAAUGCCCCCGUAACUUCGGGAGAAGGGGGACCGGAAUAUCGUGAACACCCUUGCGGUGGGAGCGGGAUCCGGUCGCAGAAACCAGUGAGGAGCGACUGUUUACUAAAAACACAGGUCCGUGCGAAGUCGCAAGACGAUGUAUACGGACUGACGCCUGCCCGGUGCUGGAAGGUUAAGAGGACCCGUUAACCCGCAAGGGUGAAGCGGAGAAUUUAAGCCCCAGUAAACGGCGGUGGUAACUAUAACCAUCCUAAGGUAGCGAAAUUCCUUGUCGGGUAAGUUCCGACCUGCACGAAUGGCGUAACGACUUCUCAACUGUCUCAACCAUAGACUCGGCGAAAUUGCACUACGAGUAAAGAUGCUCGUUACGCGCGGCAGGACGAAAAGACCCCGGGACCUUCACUACAACUUGGUAUUGAUGUUCGGUACGGUUUGUGUAGGAUAGGUGGGAGACUGUGAAACCUCGACGCCAGUUGGGGCGGAGUCAUUGUUGAAAUACCACUCUGAUCGUAUUGGGCAUCUAACCUCGAACCCUGAAUCGGGUUUAGGGACAGUGCCUGGCGGGUAGUUUAACUGGGGCGGUUGCCUCCUAAAAUGUAACGGAGGCGCCCAAAGGUUCCCUCAACCUGGACGGCAAUCAGGUGGCGAGUGUAAAUGCACAAGGGAGCUUGACUGCGAGACUUACAAGUCAAGCAGGGACGAAAGUCGGGAUUAGUGAUCCGGCACCCCCGAGUGGAAGGGGUGUCGCUCAACGGAUAAAAGGUACCCCGGGGAUAACAGGCUGAUCUUCCCCAAGAGUCCAUAUCGACGGGAUGGUUUGGCACCUCGAUGUCGGCUCGUCGCAUCCUGGGGCUGGAGCAGGUCCCAAGGGUUGGGCUGUUCGCCCAUUAAAGCGGCACGCGAGCUGGGUUUAGAACGUCGUGAGACAGUUCGGUCUCUAUCCGCCGCGCGCGUCAGAAACUUGAGGAAACCUGUCCCUAGUACGAGAGGACCGGGACGGACGAACCUCUGGUGCACCAGUUGUCCCGCCAGGGGCACCGCUGGAUAGCCACGUUCGGUCAGGAUAACCGCUGAAAGCAUCUAAGCGGGAAACCUUCUCCAAGAUCAGGUUUCUCACCCACUUGGUGGGAUAAGGCCCCCCGCAGAACACGGGUUCAAUAGGUCAGACCUGGAAGCUCAGUAAUGGGUGUAGGGAACUGGUGCUAACCGGCCGAAAACUUACAACACCC
Molecule: ribosomal RNA, 1767 nt
Filed under: Mycobacterium tuberculosis
Lineage: Bacteria; Bacillati; Actinomycetota; Actinomycetes; Mycobacteriales; Mycobacteriaceae
Description: bacterial LSU rRNA
Rfam family: Bacterial large subunit ribosomal RNA
Source: RNAcentral